CUUCGGCAAUGGAGGCUUUGAACAUCGACCACUCCGGUUCAAUGCCCCCAACCUCCACAGGGAUGCCAGAAAAGCUCAGCCGGAGGUGUGAGUUGAAGAUCUUUUAGACGGGGGCCUCCUCCAGACGUUCCCAGUUUACCCCCACUACCCGUUUGGGUUUUCUACCAGAGUCUUCCCCCGCCCCCUGACCCAACUCACCACCAGAUCUUGAUUGGUUGACAGCUCUGCCCCUCUCUUUACCCGAGUGUCCAAAACAUGCGGUCUCAGAUCCGAUGACACCAUCACAAAAUCAAUCAUCGACCUUCGGCCUAGGGUGCUCUGGUAUCACGUACACUUAUGAGCAUCUUUAUGUUCCAACAUGGUGUUCGUUAUAGAUAAUCCAUGACUAGCACAGAACUCUAACAACAAACGACCACUCAAGUUCAGAUCAGGGAGGCCGUUCCUCCCUAUCACGCCUUUCCAGGUGUCUCCAUCAUUGCCCACAUGUGCGUUGAAGUCCCCUAGCAGAAAUAUUGAGUCCCCUACUCCAGGCUUCACCCCAGCUAAGGAAAUGGCCCUUGAUUUAAACCAAGGAAGGCCUGUAAUGGAAGGGAUUCAGGGUGGGACAGCUACAGGCUCUGUUCCACCUGCAGAAACUGCCCUCUUCAUACAAGUGUCCGGCGACACAGUCACUCUCCUGCCACCAGACAAUGAUCCAGGGAAGGGGCUUCUGCAGCAUGGGAAGGGGCUGCUGCAGCUGAUGAUGAGACUGUCACUGGACUCCAGAAGGCCUGAGGAUCCAGACGCAGUACAGUCUGACAGCCAGCCUGGCAACAUAGUAAGUAUAGGCUAAUGGAAAUCUAAAUUAUGCAAUAAUUCCUGCUGUGCUAAUCAAUGGGUGGUUUACAGAAUUCACAAAUUGUAUGAUGUCUAUAUUGUCACAGGUGUUGUCGAGGUGCGUGUGUCGAAAUAAGGAGCCAAACGCAGGGAGGUAGUUUCACUAUCUGUUUCUUAUCUUAUUUGAAAAAUGGCACGCGUAAAGAACAAGAGCACACAGGCGCAAACAAUAGUAACACCAAACAUAGAAUAAUACCACACAAAGACAGCUGGAAACACAGGAACUUAUAUAUGCGAUCUAAUGAGGGAAUGGACACCAGGUGCGUGCAAUAACAAGACAGGACAGUGCCAUGGGAGGAGGAGAGGCGUGGCUAGAAGGCCGGCGCUGACGUGCGCCGAACACCACGUCGGGAGGGGUGGCGCGCGUCCUCCACGCAUGUCCUCGUUACAUAUAUACACGACAUCUGAAAAAGCAAAUAGAGCUGGCAGGUGCACAGAUUGCUGUAAGCAAAAGGACUCCCUAGGAUCUGGACCUUGGUAUAGAAAUCAAAAAGAAAACACUGAGGAAACUGGAUCUGGAGAUACAGAAACUAGAAAAAGAAGUUAGUGACUUCAAUCCACACUAUAAGCAUAUCUGUAAAACAAUGUAUUAAUCAUGUUUUUCUUUCUCUCUCCCAAGCUCCAAACUGACAAGUGACAGC
Molecule: long non-coding RNA, 1517 nt
Organism: Esox lucius (northern pike)
Lineage: Eukaryota; Metazoa; Chordata; Actinopteri; Esociformes; Esocidae
Source: Ensembl